ACGAAUUGUAUGAUUACAAUGUAAGAGAGAAUGUCUCCGUUGCAAAACAUGAGGUGCCAGACUCAUCUGAGAUCCCACCGGUACACUAGCUUGAUAAUUAUGAGCAACCACACACAUAUGAACAGAGAUUGUUCAGAUUUGCAUCACCAAUUUCUUCAGAUUUGUAUGGACAUACCUGCAGCUCCAUCCUGGAGCUCUAAGGUCCAUCUUGCCUAUCAAUUGUUCGGAAGCCUGCAGUGAAUCCUCCUGUGAUCUCCCACCUUCGCCCCCCGCACACAAAUCUGACCGUGAAAGCUCUAGGCGCGAGAGGCUCCAUUUGGGCGUAACUAUCAGUAACCUUCUCAAGCACCAUAGAUCUGCGCAGCAAGAUGAGGAAAUUCCAGAUCGACACCAUGGGAUCCAGAAUCGAACAAAAACUCAGACGAAUCUAAUGAGCUCUUACGCUACCUUAUUUGGCUGCAUAGGAUCUCCAUGCCCACCAGUGG
Molecule: long non-coding RNA, 485 nt
Filed under: Triticum aestivum (bread wheat)
Lineage: Eukaryota; Viridiplantae; Streptophyta; Magnoliopsida; Poales; Poaceae
Description: long non-coding RNA (TAES_LNC021862)
Source: RNAcentral